This 68-nucleotide transfer RNA is filed under the name Marmota monax (woodchuck). It matches the Rfam family "tRNA". From Rfam's summary of the family: Transfer RNA (tRNA) molecules are approximately 80 nucleotides in length. Their secondary structure includes four short double-helical elements and three loops (D, anti-codon, and T loops). The record is from Rfam by way of RNAcentral. Lineage: Eukaryota; Metazoa; Chordata; Mammalia; Rodentia; Sciuridae.
GUGGUGGCUCAGUGGGAAAGCACUUGCCUAGCAUGCGUGAGGCACUGGGUUCAAUUCUCAGUACCACA